AUACUCUUUCGGGGCGGGGCGAAAUUCCCCACCGGCGGUGACGGCCUUUUGUAUGUGCAAAAGACCGAAGUCCGUGACCCGGUCGGUUUCCUAUACAAGAAACCGACCGGCUGACCUGGUGCGAUUCCGGGACCGACAGUUAAAGUCUGGAUGGGAGAAAGAGAAA
Molecule: non-coding RNA, 166 nt
Filed under: Saccharibacillus sacchari
Lineage: Bacteria; Bacillati; Bacillota; Bacilli; Caryophanales; Paenibacillaceae
Also listed under: 1 other name
Description: FMN sequence
Rfam family: FMN riboswitch aptamer (RFN element)
About the family: The RFN element is a highly conserved domain that is found frequently in the 5'-untranslated regions of prokaryotic mRNAs that encode for flavin mononucleotide (FMN) biosynthesis and transport proteins.
Source: RNAcentral